RNAcentral lists this ribosomal RNA (1470 nucleotides) under Triticum aestivum (bread wheat). Its description in RNAcentral is "partial small subunit ribosomal RNA". Lineage: Eukaryota; Viridiplantae; Streptophyta; Magnoliopsida; Poales; Poaceae. The record is from RNAcentral.
AUGGAGCACAUUGACGUGGAUUCCGCUCCCAAGCGGGCGAAGCUCGCCGGCGGCGGAAACGAGGACCGCCUCAGCGCGCUCCCCGACGACGUUCUUCUCGACGUCCUUCUCAAGACCCGGAACGCCGCCGACGCCGCUCGGACCAGCAUCCUCUCCAGCCGCUGGCGCCUCCUCUGGGCCUUUCUCCCGGAGCUCCACUUUUCAGACGGCAUCGACCCUCGCCGCAUACGCCCCGCCCUCGCCGCCCAUGAAGCGCCGGACCUCCGCUGCCUAGUCGCCAUCGUCCGUGGCGCCUCCCCCAAAUCCAUGGCGGCCUGGCUCCCCGUCGCCGUGCGCCGCCUCUCCGGCGAUCUCGUCUUUCACAACACGACGAGUUGCGGGGAGUGGGGAAGAGGCGCCUUUCAGUUGCCAUGCUUCGAGAACGCCACCGCCCUCAGCCUCGACCUGGGCUUUCUUGUCCUCGCCAUGCCGGCUUCUGGUGUAUUCGUCCGGCUCACCGAUCUCUCCCUGGUUUAUGUCCAGCUAAAUCGUGUGAACCGGCUUGGUGACGCCAUCUCGUCGCCGCGGUGCCCAGCCUUGCGGAAACUCACCGUUAGCCAUGCCCGAGGUCUGCCUACAUUCAUCAUCCACUCAGAGUCUCUACUCCAACUGAAGCUGAGUAAUCUGCAUACUUUAAAGAAGCUAACUGUAGUGGCUCCUGCACUUGAAGAGCUAACUCUGAGCUCCUGCCUUGCUAGUGUUAUGGAUCCAAGCCAACUGGUUGUCAACAUUUCAGCUCCUGAGCUGUUGGUGCUCAAGUGGAAGGAUACUUACGAUCCAAGCUUUUUCGAGCUUGGCGAGAUGGCGCAUCUUCAGUGUCUGGACAUUGGCACUUUGGUUGUAUAUGGAUCUGGUAAAUUUGUGUACAGUCCCGAUAGCCGGAUACUCUUGCAGUGCUGUGAGGCCAUACACAAGCUAAACCUCAAAGUGGUCCAUCUGUCACGCAUGGUUUACAAUCAACACUUAUCGGAAGACAUGACAAGGCUCCCAGAAGUUACAUUCCUGAACCUGGUGGUAACGGCAUUGUCGCAUUCCUUUGGAGCCUGCUUAUUCAAUAUUCUCAGGAUGUGCACUAGUGUAAUAAAGCUUGCAAUUGAUAUGUCUUGCAACUAUGAAGAGGAAUGCCCAUCUGAUUGUUUUUGUGACCAUCCACCAAACUGGAAAUUCAAGGAUCUCAUACUGGAUCGCCUCCAAGAGGUAGACAUCAUCAACUCAGGAGGAACUGGACAUGAAGUUGCUUUCCUGGAGCGGUUAUUCAGCUGGGCAACGGCGCUAGAACAGAUUACAGUAACUUUCGAUGAGACAAUCACUGAAAGCAUGGCCAUGAAGGAGUUCCGCCAGAAGUUACUAAGCUUCUCCAGGCCAGAGAUAUGCAUGAGAUUCUUUGUGUACCGCGGUUCCGAGAAGGUUCUGUAUGUGCCAGAAGGCUAG